UACAGAGGGUGCAAGCGUUAAUCGGAAUUACUGGGCGUAAAGGGCGCGUAGGUGGUUACUUAAGUGAGAUGUGAAAUCCCCGGGCUUAACCUGGGAACUGCAUCUUAUACUGGGUAACUGGAGUGCAGUAGAGGGUAGUGGAAUUUCCGGUGUAGCGGUGAAAUGCGUAGAUAUCGGAAGGAACACCAGUGGCGAAGGCGGCUACCUGGACUGAGACUGACACUGAGGCGCGAGAGCGUGGGGAGCAAACAGG
This 253-nucleotide ribosomal RNA is filed under the name uncultured bacterium. RNAcentral's name for it is "partial 16S ribosomal RNA". It matches the Rfam family "Bacterial small subunit ribosomal RNA", at positions 524 to 776 of the family's 1533-position model. The record is from RNAcentral.